Molecule: small RNA, 159 nt
Filed under: Streptomyces sp.
Lineage: Bacteria; Bacillati; Actinomycetota; Actinomycetes; Kitasatosporales; Streptomycetaceae
Description: c-di-AMP sequence
Rfam family: c-di-AMP riboswitch aptamer (ydaO/yuaA leader)
About the family: This family represents a conserved RNA structure found upstream of the ydaO and yuaA genes in Bacillus subtilis and related genes in other bacteria. The ydaO/yuaA element is thought to act as a genetic "off" switch for the ydaO and yuaA genes in its native state.
Source: RNAcentral
CGCGAAUUCGCACCACGGCAGGCGCGGGGGACCCAGGUAAGUCGCCCCGGACCGGUCCACGACCGGUUCAGGGGCUAGGGGUGAAGCCGUGCUCAGCACGGCCGGGCAACUCCAGCCCGAAUCCGACAGCUCACCUCGCAGGCGUGGGAGAGGAACAUC